This 73-nucleotide transfer RNA is filed under the name Candidatus Magnetominusculus dajiuhuensis. RNAcentral's name for it is "tRNA-Ala". It matches the Rfam family "tRNA". From Rfam's summary of the family: Transfer RNA (tRNA) molecules are approximately 80 nucleotides in length. Their secondary structure includes four short double-helical elements and three loops (D, anti-codon, and T loops). Further hydrogen bonds mediate the characteristic L-shaped molecular structure. tRNAs have two regions of fundamental functional importance: the anti-codon, which is responsible for specific mRNA codon recognition, and the 3' end, to which the tRNAs corresponding amino acid is attached (by aminoacyl-tRNA synthetases). tRNAs cope with the degeneracy of the genetic code in two manners: having more than one tRNA (with a specific anti-codon) for a particular amino acid; and 'wobble' base-pairing, i.e. permitting non-standard base-pairing at the 3rd anti-codon position. The record is from RNAcentral. Lineage: Bacteria; Pseudomonadati; Nitrospirota; Nitrospiria; Nitrospirales; Nitrospiraceae.
GGGGCUGUAGCUCAAUUGGGAGAGCGCUUGAAUGGCAUUCAAGAGGUAGUCGGUUCGAUCCCGAUCAGCUCCA